UUCGGUACGACAUUGCUCACAUUGCUUCCAGUAUUAUUUGCCCGCGCGUCACGUGCGGGCUUUUUUUU
RNAcentral lists this non-coding RNA (68 nucleotides) under Enterobacter sp. NFR05. The record is from RNAcentral. Lineage: Bacteria; Pseudomonadati; Pseudomonadota; Gammaproteobacteria; Enterobacterales; Enterobacteriaceae.